This 417-nucleotide ribosomal RNA is filed under the name Anaplasma phagocytophilum. RNAcentral describes it as "bacterial SSU rRNA". It matches the Rfam family "Bacterial small subunit ribosomal RNA", at positions 57 to 503 of the family's 1533-position model. Lineage: Bacteria; Pseudomonadati; Pseudomonadota; Alphaproteobacteria; Rickettsiales; Anaplasmataceae. The record is from RNAcentral.
GCAAGUCGAACGGGUUAUCUUUGUAGCUUGCUAUAGAGAUAAUUAGUGGCAGACGGGUGAGUAAUGCAUAGGAAUCUACCUAGUAGUAUAGGAUAGCCACUAGAAAUGGUGGGUAAUACUGUAUAAUCCCUGCGGGGGAAAGAUUUAUCGCUACAUGAUGAGCCUAUGUUAGAUUAGCUAGUUGUAGGGUAAAGGCCUACCAAGGCGAUGAUCUAUAGCUGGUCUGAGAGGAUGAUCAGCCACACUGGAAUUGAGAUACGGUCCAGACUCGUACGGGAGGCAGCAGUGGGGAAUAUUGGCCAAUUGGCGCAAGCCUGAUCCCGCUAUGCCGCGUGAGUGAGGAAGGCCUUAGGGUUGUAAAACACUUUCAGUGGGGAAGAUAAUGACGGUACCUACAGAAGAAGUCCCGGCAAACUC